RNAcentral lists this ribosomal RNA (735 nucleotides) under unidentified. RNAcentral describes it as "bacterial SSU rRNA". It matches the Rfam family "Bacterial small subunit ribosomal RNA", at positions 771 to 1501 of the family's 1533-position model. RNAcentral also lists the same sequence under 1 other name. The record is from RNAcentral.
AACAGGAUUAGAUACCCUGGUAGUCCAUGCCGUAAACGGUGGGUACUAGGUGUGGGGCUCCUUCCACGGACUCCGUGCCGUAGCUAACGCAUUAAGUACCCCGCCUGGGGAGUACGGCCGCAAGGCUAAAACUCAAAGAAAUUGACGGGGGCCCGCACAAGCGGCGGAGCAUGUGGAUUAAUUCGAUGCAACGCGAAGAACCUUACCUGGGUUUGACAUACACCAGAAAGCCGUAGAGAUACGGCCCCCCUUGUGGUUGGUGUACAGGUGGUGCAUGGCUGUCGUCAGCUCGUGUCGUGAGAUGUUGGGUUAAGUCCCGCAACGAGCGCAACCCUUAUCUUAUGUUGCCAGCGCGUAAUGGCGGGGACUCGUGAGAGACUGCCGGGGUCAACUCGGAGGAAGGUGGGGACGACGUCAAGUCAUCAUGCCCCUUAUGUCCAGGGCUUCACACAUGCUACAAUGGCCGGUACAGAGGGCUGCGAUACCGUGAGGUGGAGCGAAUCCCUUAAAGCCGGUCUCAGUUCGGAUCGGGGUCUGCAACUCGACCCCGUGAAGUUGGAGUCGCUAGUAAUCGCAGAUCAGCAACGCUGCGGUGAAUACGUUCCCGGGCCUUGUACACACCGCCCGUCACGUCAUGAAAGUCGGUAACACCCGAAGCCGGUGGCCUAACCCCUUGUGGGAGGGAGCCGUCGAAGGUGGGAUCGGCGAUUGGGACGAAGUCGUAACAAGGUAACC